Paramacrobiotus metropolitanus is the source of this 8369-nucleotide RNA transcript. It is a transcript of the gene named zinc finger protein 91-like, with no coding region annotated. The record is from RefSeq and is a predicted model, not a curated record. The transcript is spliced from 11 exons. Lineage: Eukaryota; Metazoa; Tardigrada; Eutardigrada; Parachela; Macrobiotidae.
UGAUUUUCAGCGAAUUCUUCUGCAUAAAUAGUUUUGUUUUGGUCUGUACUCUCUAUUUUUUUCUGUAUUGAGGUAUGACUAUUGAAAUGAAAUAUUUCCAGAGUCAUUGUAAGUAGCACGCAGACUGAUGUGGUGCUCGUCAUGUCUUCAUUUUUCCUCUUCAGCGAUUUAGACUCACUCACUGUAAUCUGGGAGCACUGAGCAGCGUGUUUGUGUACAGAUGGUUCGAAGUCCAGGAUAUUGUGGGAUGCUUUACAGCACUUCUCGCACUGCAGUAGAUUGCUGGCGUGGUUGAGCUGAGGAGCCUUCAUAAUUUCAUAAUCUGAACAGGAAUCUCCCAGUUUCGGAGGUAUUCACGCUCCUACAAGGAUUUUUUUUAUGCGCGGCUUUGCCUUUGUGACAAAGGCUUUGUGGCGUGAAUAACGUCGAUCUCGUUAGUUUUGAUCUUGGUCACGACUAGCUCAACUGGUACUGGCAAGAAGAAUUUGCUGUCAUAUCACAUCUUGAUUUCGUCGACUGUAAUUUGGACUGAAUUAGGACUGGAGCGAUGUCCGAUCCCGCAGCUUGUUCCGUGUUGUUGUGUCCUUCUUCGGAGCAGUCGCGUUCCUUGCGCAGCGUGUGUUUCUUCGAUUUCCCGCAUCCGAACGAUCCGCGCUAUCCCGUUUGGAUUGAACGCACUCUGCGGCCAAAAGAGUGGACUCCGUCUCCGUCCAGCAAAAUCUGCAGCAGACACUUUCGUCCAUCAGAUAUCCUUGCAUUGCCCCUCGCUGACGGCUCCGGACGAACGGAGAAAAGAUUGAAAUACGAUGCGCUGCCGUGUGUUUUCGAAGGCAUUCCCGAUUCAAUGCGUCCGCAAACACAUGUUGUGCCGCGCGCAGACAGCCCCGAAAUAGUUCCUUCCACUAACUGUUCAAAAAAGCGCUCUGCCGAUUGCUUGGACGAAAGCAUCUCUGACGAAGCCGAGAAAGAAUUUAGCGACUCCCUGAAUGCUUCAACCGAAGUCCCCGACGCAUCUAAAAAUGCACAGUCGAAUGUUUCGCUCACAAUUCUAACGAUCCAAUCGAAUAACUCUACAAGCGCGAAUGUGGCUGGACCUGUUAUUUCUGCAGCCACAGUUUCAGGUGCGAAAAAGGCCAAGCUUGUUGUUUCUCCUGCCGUCAGCGCGCCGAUACCUAUCCCCAUUCGCCCCGCUUGUUCGCUGGAUACGAAGAUUAUCGACGGACGACUCACGGUGUUGGAACACUGUGCUAAGCACAUUCCCGUGGAUUAUCCUGCUCGAACGGACGCCGGCGAGGCCCGCAAGUGCUGCGUUCCCGGAUGUUCUUUCGGGCGCGAUGAUAAUCCACAGAGAAGAGUUCAAUUCCACGCAUUUCCCACGGACGAACGCUUCCGAACUGAAUGGAUCAAGCGGGUGGCGUGUUCCAGUUUCUGGCAGCCCGCCCCGUAUUCCGUCGUGUGCAGCGUUCAUUUUCUCGAAACGGAUUACGGUUUUAUUGGUAACCUUUUGUGUCUGAAGCCGACAGCGAUCCCGUCGCAACUGGGAUGCCGGAACGGAUUGAUGCGGAAGUUGAAUGGACCGUGCCCGUUCAGUCGGGUGUGUGCAAUCUGCGGAUGCUGGAGAGCGAUCAAGCAGACUACCUACUAUAAGUCCGCGUCCCAGUUGGCCUUUGUUCCGUUUCCAGAACAAGCGAAUGAGCGACUGAAGUGGUUGGCUUUCUGCCGUGAGGUUCCGUGUGCGGGUGAAUUCUACGCCUGUGAGCGGCACUUUGCCCUGGCUGACAUUCUGGCACGGUUUGAGCAGGAUAAAGAAAUGAAAUUCGAGCUGCAGCGACGUGAUGGUAUCCUGCCACAUCCCAGCCAACUGCUCGUACCGAUUCCUCUGCAGAGUCGAGCUCCGUCGCUCAUUGCUCCACGACCUUCUCCUUUGAGAGCUCCGUCGCUGAUUGCUCCACGACCUUCUCCUUUGACAGCUCCGUCGCUCAUUGCUCCACAACCUUCUCCUUCGAAUAACACAAACAACAGCCAGAAUAAGUCUUUCGCAAAUUUUUUGAACGGGGCAGUUCUACAAAGCCGAACGGUUACCGCUACUCCGUCCGCUUUAUUGAUACAUUCAGCUGCAUCUUCGGCCAGCCCGGGCGGUUUUUCGUUCUUGGUGGUGCCUAAUCAGACCGCAGCUCCGGCUGUUACUGCUCCUCUUGCGCCUCCAGUGACUAAACGGCUGACACUAGACCCUUCAAGAAAUGUGCAACCUCAAGUUGCUGUUGCUGCCCAGUCGCAUCCGCAUCCAGUUCGAUUCGAGAAAACCACAUGCGGUCAGUGUGGUUUGCGAUUCAACACAUAUUUAUCGUACAGUAUCCACGAAUAUGAACAUGGAGGCAGAGAAUUAGCCGAAUAUAUUAGAAGCAGAACCGCGUGUUCCGAUUGUGCAGAAAAAUUUGAUAGCUUCGACGCUUUGGUGGAGCACGUUAAGAUUCACGGAAGACAAACGGAAGAGUGUCCCGUUUGUAAGGGACGUUUUCGCGCGCUGAACGACCAUAUUCGACGUGAUCAUCCUGAUUGCCAGUACCGAUCGAGGAAGAGUCCGGACCGCGUUCGGAAAGAUAAUCUUCACCGGUGUGGAGAGUGUGGGAAGGUAUUCAAAACAGCUUAUGCUUUUGACAUUCAUGCCAAGGCUCACCGCGCUAGAGCCUUGUGGGCCACUCUGACGUGUAGCGACUGCGGUCUGCGCUUUAAGACGGAUGUCUUAUGCCGGUUGCAUAAAAUCCACCACGGAAAUGAAGAAUCGACGGAGCUUAUUCGUGACACACGAGAAUGUCCUGACUGUCAUCAAAUCUUUGAGAGCCAGGAGGGACUAGUUGAACAUGUUAGGGAGCACGGGAAAGCAACCGAAAAAUGCGCACUGUCCGAAGAACGGUAUAUCUCUUUGGCGAACCUUAUAAUACGUGAUCACCAAGCCCAAAAUCCACUGAAAGCAGCGGUUUUGGCAUGCUGCGUACCGGGAUGCCAGAAUGUGUGGGAGCCAGAGACACAGAUUACACGCGCAUCAAAAGUGUUGUUCUUUCGAUUCAUUGGAGCCGCUCAUCCGCGUUUUGAAACUUGGAUGCGGCGACUGCGGUACAACUCAUCCUGGGUUCCGCAUUUUCACGAGAGGGUUUGCAGUGAUCAUUUUUACGAGUCCGACAUCAGAUUCAAGAAUGGCAAAGCUUCUCUCCUGCUAACAGCGGUACCGAGUCAGUUGUCCUGUAUGAGCGCAUUAUGCGGGUUUACCGCAGCAGAUAUGGCUACCGGAGCAGUUGGUUGCGCUGUGUGUGGCCUGCGUCCGCCAGCUGACAGACAACCGAAAGCAUCAGAGAAGCUGACGUUUUUUCGCGCACCUCCGUCCGCGUUGGAUGCAUUGCGAAAGAAAUGGAUAGACUUCUGUAAUCAGCAGCGGAACGACAUCGACUGGGCAUCCAUUGGGGCGGAUACGCCGUGGUAUCUGUGUGAAAACCAUUUCGAAAUGAGGGACAGAAAAGCGACAGAAAACAUUGGCUCCCUCGCUAGUGAUACGGAAGCAGUUCCGUCAUUAUCUUAUUUUUUGGACUUGAAUUACGCUGACUCAACGCCGACGACAUCUGAUGGUGAUUUGUAUGGAAAUUCCCUGAUGCGCAUUGGCACUUUCUGUUGCGUGCCGGGAUGUGAAACUAUGUUAGAAAAAGGUGUCACCUGGUCAAAAACAUUUGUUAUGUUUCUUCCACCAGAUGAUGAACGGUAUAAUGAAUGGCUCCGGAUGGUGCGAUACAAUGCUUCCUGGAUUCCCGGGAGUCGUGCGAAAAUUUGUCGGCAACACUUCCCUGCAUCGGCAUUCGAGCUGCGAUAUCGCAAGAAAGGGUCUCCAAAGUCUGCCUGCCUACUUAAUACAGCUUUCCCCACUCAGCUUUCUUGCAUGGAAUCUUUGUGCACGUUCACACCGGCCGACAUGAUUGCGGGGAAACAAGGCUGUGCUGUGUGCGGUCUUCGUCCGUUCACGCCCAACCGCCGACUGAAACUCUCGGAGAAGCUGGAGUUCUUCCGGGCACCCUCGGGCGAAAUCAGAGAGAAAUGGGUUGAAUUCUGCACAUCACAAAGAAUGGAUAUUGACUGGUCGUUGAUUCCGGAGGAAACACCGUGGUAUCUAUGCGAAAACCAUUUCGAUGCGCAGAACAAGGCGAAAUGUGCUGAACAGACAGCAAUCCCUUCCCUUUCGUUUUCCAUGUACGUUAAUUCCGGAGCUUUAGAAGCUUUUGCUGGUCCAGACGAUGAAGGAAUCAAAAGUGCAAAGAAAAAAAGAAGGAAGCGUCUUCGUCCGCCUGCUUGCUGUGUGCCGGGAUGUCGGAUGUUCGCAUGGAACGAGCCCCUAUCGGCGCCGGUAUCCUUUCAUUAUGUCGGUCAAGGGAUCGGGUCUCGGGAUGAUUGGGCAGAUCAUAUCCGAUGUGCCGUUUCAUGGAGACCUAAGUCACGCGAUACAGUGUGCAGUCGCCAUUUCUGCCUUGGAGACUUCCGCGAAACAAGCUCCGACCAACCGCUACAAUUCCGAAAAUUGAGAGCGAACGUAGUGCCGUCUAAGCUGGAUUGUACUGCAGCGUACCGCGCUCCAAAGGAUACAGAUGCGUUAUUAGGAAGGGAAGGUGUCCAGACGUGUUGUGUGUGCGGAUGCUGGCGGCCACUGGACAAGACUGACCUAAUUCUAUCUGAGAGACUGAGCUUCUUUCCCUUUCCGGAUGACGAAAUCCUACGUGAUUCAUGGGUGACCUCUUGUCGUCAAUGGAAUCCCAAUUUGACCGUGUCGAAAGAAUCGGUUAUUUGUGAGAAUCAUUUCUCGUUGGAUGAUUUGACAUGGCUGCUGGAAGAUGGCAAAGAAGCCAGACUGGUGCCGAAGAACAGUGCUAUGCCGACAUGUGAGAGACUGCCUGUGCCUGUCAGAUUAAAUACUAACGGUGCUUUUGCAAGCAAGAAAAGUACAUCAACUAGCAGCAGGAAGAGUACAUCAGCGGCGGCAAAUGCUGAUCGCAUCACCGGCUACAAAUGCUGCGUGCCGGGAUGUGGGAAUCGUGCGCAAGUGGAAGGCAAGUUGGAGAAGAUAACCUUUCAUGUUUUUCCUGGUCUCUGCGCUUCAUCUCGCUUCUGCGAAUGGAUGAACCGGAUUCGUUGCUCGAUUUCGUGGACGCCUCACCCGCUCAAUCGAGUGUGUAGUAAGCAUUUUAGUCCUAAGGAUUUUAUGGAAGAAACGGCGAAAGGCAGGCAGCCUCGCACUAAUCUGUUGAAGAAAGAUGUGGUGCCGUCUAUAUUGCAGUGUGCUGAAAAGUUUCGAAGCCCGAUGAAUUCGGGUGAAUCGGCUGAAUUGAAUGAAGUACGCACGUGCUGUGUAUGUGGAUGGUGGCGUGCAGCCGGAGAGAAGAGUAUCCAGUCUGAAAUUCUGACAUUUUUCUCGUUUCCUGCGGAAGAUGGUCACCGCGAACAGUGGGUGAACAUUUGCCGCGAAUGGAAUCCCGAUUUCGUCUUCUCGGAAGGGUUGUUGGUGUGUGAAAAUCAUUUUCAGUUGGACGAACUGACGUGGGCGCAUGUGAGUAAGGUGAACGGGGAACUGAAACUACGAAGCGGUGCAGUUCCGUCGGAAAGAUACCUGCGUCCGCUCAGUUUUGCGGACGAUACAAGAGCUCGAGAUGACACUGCUGAAAUGGUGGCAGGAGUGCCAUUCGAUGAUCUUACUGGGUUGUCUUCGCUUAAUCCGGACGCUGAUUCGGUGGAUGGGGAUGAUAGCGAAGCUGGCAACGACACCUGCGUAUACGAAGAAAGAGACUGCAUGUCGGUGGAUGAGAAUGCAUGGAAUUACGAUGCAACGGCGGAUGAAGAGUCGCUCAUGGAAACUGACGACCCGAACGUACCCUUAAUGGACAUCACGAUUUCUAAAUGUGCUCCUCUGAGGACGACGAGAGUCGCCGAAAAUGGUCUUCCGGAAGAUGAGAGCUAUACUAACGUCGGCACCUUAUUUGACAUGCCCUCAGCGCUCCCGUUUAGCACCGACGCGCAAAUUGGGAUUACUCCCCCUCCUUCGCCCCCGCGAUGUGCCCCGGAUGAUGCUUUAGUGUAUUGCGACUGUUGUCACAAAUUUCUUCCCACUCCAUGUUGGCUACACGCAGCCAGCAUUUGUGAUGAGCCAGUUGUUCCGUUGGCCGUCGGAAGUUUGCCGAAGAUGCUUUACUUGGAUGUCUGCGAUGAUUCGCAAACUGGGAAAACAGUAUUCACGAAGGAGGUGAUUGCCCGGCACACCGUGUUUGGACCGUUAAUCGCACCACUGACGCCGGGUAACAGCGAAAAGGCGCUAUACUUUUCUGUUACGGAAGAGCAGCGCAGGUAUUACGAACUGGAAUCUGAAUACGCAUGCAACUGGAUGAAGCAUGUCCGGUUCGCGGACAGCCUGCAAAACAGCAACUUGCUGGUGUUCUCGCGCGGAUCGGAAGUGGUUUUUGUCACCAUCAAGACAAUCGCUCCGCACGAAGAACUCAAGGUCUGGUAUUCCAAGCAGUACCUGGAUAUGGUGGAAACGCACGGAAACGCUGCUGCUGAAGAUGUUAAACUGGAAAUAGACGAUGAAGUUGAGGGGACGUCUUUGCCAUUCGAUGAUUAUGGCGAAUUAGCAGAAACCGCACCUGGAGACCAUGAAGUGACUGGAAGUUGUCCAUUUGAAGCAGUUUGUGUGGCCCAUUUACCAAUGGAAAGAGUUUCAUCGUUGCCAAUGGAAAGCGUGUCAUCGUUGCCAUUGACAGUAGAUGAUGAUUAUCUGCAGAGUGACCAAAGAUCUUGUGUACGCUCAAAAACAAAUCGAACCAACAAAUCGCGAGGUUUUUUCACCAGCAAUAUUUGUUUGGAAUGCAACGUAAGGUUUCGGAGAGAGGAUAUGCUGCGUUUGCAUCAGUUCAGCCACACGGGCUACGAUGGGCAGCCUGAACGAGAGUGUCCGGAGUGUUCGAAACAUUACGAUGAUUUUCCUGCUUUACUGAAGCAUGUUGACGAGCAUGGAACGCCGCUUGUGCAGUGCCCGGUCUGCAGCGAAACGUGCAGUUUAAGCGCGAUUUUCAUGCAUCUACACCGUUAUCAUCCCGGAAUUGAACGGAGAAAGUUGUAUUUGAGGAGUUCGAUCUGCAAUAAGUGCGGCAUGCGAUUUGGCAGUAAUUUUCUUUGUCGGUUACAUCAGUUGGGUCAUCAGGACCAGGAGUGUAUCAACAGCAUAAAAAUUACGCGAAAAUGCCCGGAAUGCGGUGAGAUGUUCGAGAACCUCGAUAAACUGGCGGCGCAUGUGGAUGUGCACGGAAAGCUAACGAAGAAGUGUCCAGUUUGCAACGGUUAUUACCCUGGAAUGAAGAGACAUAUUGCACGCAGCCAUCCGCAGUUUUCAGCCGAGAGAACUUGCCCGGAAUGUGGGAAACAAUUCGCGCACGAAUCCUCCUUUGUGCCCCACAUGCGGGGCCAUCGGAUCAGAGCAUCUCUGGACAGUUGGACGUGCCGGGAAUGUCGACUGCAGUUUCCGAAAGACAGUUUAUUUGUCUUGCAUAAGAGCAGCCAUGAUACUGCAGCCUAUAACGCAACUGCCGGCGCGCAGAGAUGUUCCGAAUGCGCGGAAGAGUUUGACGGGAUGGAUGCACUGCUUGAGCAUGUUCUGACGCAUGCUGUACCCGCGGAGAACUGUCCCGAAUGCGGCCACUGGAUCGGCCGCAACCGUUUGCGUAAGCACAUGAAGAACCAGCAUCCUGCGCGAGCGCUGCCUACCCAUAUGAAGCGUCACCACUCGGCGCGUGCGCACCGAUCUGUUUUACAACAGGACGAGUCGAACGAUAGUGCAUUCGUUGACAAAGCGCACGAUGAGCUUCAUAAGAGAACGCCAGUUGAAGCGUUAGCUUGUACUGAUUGUGGGUUGCGGUUUCUGACCGAGGAUCUCCUCCACAUUCACGAAUUUAAACACACGAAAAUGAAACUUCCAUUGGCACUGGACAGUGUCCGGAGUGCAAGAAAUCCUUCGCCGUGGCGGAUGAUCUUGUGGAGCACGUACAAGCACAUGCAUCAAACACGAGGAAAUGUCCAUUGUGUGGUCGGUGGCGUGUAAAUAUGUCUCAGCACCUCAAGCAAAAGCAUCCUGAGAAUAAGAACGAAACAUACCAGUGUCCACAGUGUAGUGAACGCUUUCGGUUACGCCGCCGCUUGGAGCAGCACAUGCUGCAGAGACACGGGCAGCAGGUGCGCUUUAGGAAAACCACAUGUGCUCAGUGUGGUCUCCGAUUCAGCACGGACUUAUUAUGUCGCAUCCAUGAAUAUGGACACGGCGGCAAAGAAUUAGCAGACGAUCUACGAAACCA